RNAcentral lists this ribosomal RNA (780 nucleotides) under Succineidae gen. n. sp. z RM-2021. RNAcentral's name for it is "12S ribosomal RNA". The record is from RNAcentral. Lineage: Eukaryota; Metazoa; Mollusca; Gastropoda; Stylommatophora; Succineidae.
AACUUCACUUUAAUUUAUAGAAGCUAUUAUUAAAUAUUGAUUAUGGAAACCUUGUUUUUAUCCAGCUCUUAAAAUUUAUCUACUAUAAAAAAUAAGAUAAGUAAUUUAAAAAAUUUUUUGGCAUAUUAGGUGCCAGCAGCCGCGGUCAUACCUAAAAAAUUAGUUAGCAUCAGAGCAAAAAAAAUAUCUUUAUAUAAAUGUUUAAUCUAAAUAAUCAAAAAAGUGAAAUUUUGUUUUUAUUUUAUAAUUUUUAAAAACUCCUUAAUUUUUCUAGAAAAAUUUAAUAAAAACUAGGAUUAGAUACCCUAUUAUUAAAUAAGUUUUUGUUUUUUUUGAGUAGUAAAUUUAUUUACAUAAAGAAAAAUUAAACUCAAACAGUGUGGCAGUAACUAAAAAUUUUAGGGGAACUUACCAAGUAAUAGAUAAUCAUCAAGUAUAAAUAUAUUAGAACUAAUUAACUUAGUUUGUAUACCGUCGUUUUAAGUUUUAUAAGUUAAGCUUGUAAAAAAAAUCUUUAUAAAGAUUUAUUUCAGAUCAAGGUACAAUAUUUUUUUAGGUUUUAGGCGAGUUACAAUAGUAAUUUUCUUUUUAAAAAUUAACUAAAUUUUUAAUUUAAGUUUUUAAAGCGGACUUAAAAGUAAUAUUACCAUAUAGUUAAAUUAUAUUUUUCAUUUUAUGAAUUAAUUUAAUUAUUUUAGUUGUGCACAAAUCGCCCGUCGUUCUCAAAAAAAUUUUUUUGAGACAAGUCGUAACAUAGUAGAUGUAGUGGAAACUGUAUCU